CUACGGGGUGCACCAGUGAGGAAUUUUGCGCAAUGGGGGAAACCCUGACGCAGCAACGCCGCGUGAGUGAAGAAGGCCCUUGGGUCGUAAAGCUCUGUCAAUGGGGAAGAAGUUAUUAUGUGUUAAUAGCACAUUUUAUUGACGGUACCCAUGAAGGAAGCACCGGCUAACUCCGUGCCAGCAGCCGCGGUAAUACGGGGGGUGCAAGCGUUAUUCGGAAUUAUUGGGCGUAAAGGGCACGCAGGCAGUCCUGUCAGUCAGAUGUGAAAGCCCGGGGCUCAACCCCGGACGUGCAUUUGAAACAGCAGGACUUGAGUGCGGGAGAGGAAAGGGGAAUUCCUGGUAUAGAGGUGAAAUUCGUAGAUAUCAGGAGGAACACCGGUGGCGAAGGCGCCUUUCUGGACCGAUACUGACGCUGAGGUGCGAAGGCGUGGGUAGCGAACGGGAUUAGAUACCCUGGUAGUC
This 465-nucleotide ribosomal RNA is filed under the name uncultured bacterium. RNAcentral's name for it is "partial 16S ribosomal RNA". It matches the Rfam family "Bacterial small subunit ribosomal RNA", at positions 339 to 795 of the family's 1533-position model. The record is from RNAcentral.